UUUGGACCGAAAAUCGACGAUUUUCCGAAAAUUACUGUAUAAACAUGGCUUGCACGAAUUCUGAUGGUUACAUUCGAGAAAGUACUGAUUAAUUCGGAUUCAUUGCAUUUGGACCGAAAAUCGACGAUUUUCCGAAAAAGAAAAACACUCUAUAAACAUGGCUUGCACGAAUUCU
Cotesia glomerata is the source of this 175-nucleotide long non-coding RNA. RefSeq lists it as uncharacterized. The transcript has 3 exons. The record is from RefSeq and is a predicted model, not a curated record. Lineage: Eukaryota; Metazoa; Arthropoda; Insecta; Hymenoptera; Braconidae.